Lagopus leucura (white-tailed ptarmigan) is the source of this 229-nucleotide long non-coding RNA. RefSeq lists it as uncharacterized. Lineage: Eukaryota; Metazoa; Chordata; Aves; Galliformes; Phasianidae. The record is from RefSeq and is a predicted model, not a curated record. The transcript is spliced from 3 exons.
GUGUCUUUGGAGUGCAGACGCUUCCCGGACAGACAACUGCACAAGGGCUGCUGAUUUUCAACCAGUGGCCUGAAAACAUCACAUUGCUGUGACUCAGCAGAGGACCUUUUUCUGGAGAGACACUCCACCUGAGCUUUCCACAGCAGCCAGUGUGUCACAUAACUUCUCUUACGAGGCUCCUGAAGUCCUGGGGGUCAGCCUGCAAAGUGAAAAAUGCAGAGAUCUAGGA